GACGAACGCUGGCGGCGUGCCUAACACAUGCAAGUCGAACGGAGAUAUGAUUUCGGUUGUAUCUUAGUGGCGAACGGUGAGUAACGCGUGAACAACCUGACUCUAAGAGGGGGAUAACACUCGGAAACGGGUGCUAAUACCGCAUAAGACCACGACCUGGCAUCAGGAUGAGGUCAAAGGAGCAAUCCGCUGAGAGAGGGGUUCGCGUCCCAUUAGAUAGAUGGCGGGGUAACGGCCCACCAUGUCAACGAUGGUAGCCGAGCUGAGAGGCUGAUCGGCCACACUGGAACUGAGACACGGUCCAGACUCCUACGGGAGGCAGCAGUGGGGGAUAUUGGGCAAUGGGCGCAAGCCUGACCCAGCAACGCCGCGUGAGGGAAGAAGGCUUUCGGGUUGUAAACCUCUGUCCCUGGUGACGAACAAAUGACGGUAGCCAAGGAGGGAAGCCCCGGCUAACUACGUGCCAGCAGCCGCGGUAAU
RNAcentral lists this ribosomal RNA (480 nucleotides) under uncultured bacterium. RNAcentral's name for it is "bacterial SSU rRNA". It matches the Rfam family "Bacterial small subunit ribosomal RNA", at positions 28 to 524 of the family's 1533-position model. The record is from RNAcentral.